AUAAGGUUUAUAUUAAAAUAACUUAACUAUUCAUAAUAAUUGAAUUUAAAUAAAUAACAUAUUAUAUAAAUUAUAUUUACGAUUAUAAUAUAUGAGUUAAAUAUAUCAUAAAUGAGUUAAACGGGUUGAACUCUUUCAAUCCGUUAAAUAAAUGAAUUAGUAGUGUUGAUCUCCCUUUAACACUGCUCGGAAUCAAAACAAAAGCACAAAUGAAUUGUGCAUCCCACACAUCCCGAGCAAAAUUGUUCAACCCAAAUAUCACAGCUCAUUGUGACUGGUGGUGCAAGGGUGUGUUGGCUUCUUCCGCAGCUCAAUCCGACCGCCUGAAAAUAUCCUCCUCUGCCGCCGCUGAAUCCGUACGCAUCAUCCAUGGCUCUUCGUUGUGUACUUGAGAGUGUGGGUAGAAUUGGUUAUAAGAAUCAUCUGAAGAAGACAAAGCUAGGGCUUUUGAGUGGCCUUAUCUCUCUCUCUCUAACUCUCUCUCUCCAAAUCUACAUAAAUACCUACUACAAUUACGGGAGUACUAAACCCUUCUCGGGACCUUUGGAUGAUCCGAGUCUUACAGGAAUGGGCAUUAGAGUUGUGUAGGCUCGCUCCCCAGAGACCUUCCAAUGUGGUUGUUUACGCAAGGUACCUACUUCGAGACCUUAGUGUUUGAAUUUGAUUUAAAUCCUUUAGCAUUUAUUUGAAUUAUAUUUUGAGAUGUCAUUUAUUGACAUAUAUUAUAUACCCGUCUUAGUAUGUUUUGUCUUCCGCUUUGGGACUGUGAAUCAUGUUCUACAGAAACAAAAUCAUAAGAUUAUGACAUAGUAGAAUUAGGACCUUUCUUUUCUAUUUGUUUUUGCAUUAAUAUAUACUUUGAUUGUGAAUUAUCUCAUGAUUUAUCUCACGGAAUUUUUGAUGGAUACGGUGUUCCUAUUUCUACAUGGUUUUCCAAUUUAAUUUCUGAUUAGAGGUCUGUCUCCUCACAUUGGGUUUUAACCUUUAAUGUUAACCUUGCUUCAUUAAUUUGAUCAUAAUUUUGAAAACGGGUUAUCGAUAUACACUUUAUAUCCUUUUCUAUUAGAGAAGAAAUUUUUUAUUUUCUCAUCAGGUACAAUAUUUAUUGGUUACCGUAGUUGUUAAAGGAAACAUUUUGACCCUUUUUUGCUUGCGGGUUGUGGACCCAUAGCCCAAUAUAUAAGGGUAUUUAGGGUUUGGAGGGAUAUUGAGAAACACUAAAAAUUGCAGAAAAGAGAGUGAGAGCAAGAGCUAGGGCUUGGGGGCGGAAACUUGUAAUCUCCAGUUUUUUUGCAUAGUGAAAUCUUUCACCGGAUCUCCAUCGUGGAUGUAGACACACCUUGCAUCGAACCACGCUAAAUCUUUUUGUUCUUUGUGUGUGGCGUGUUUAUUUUUCUGUCAUGCUUCGUGAUUGUUAUUUGGUUCUUUGUUGUUUCUUGCAACAUUAUUUUUAGAUUUAUUAAAGUAACAAUCCAUAAACACUUUUAUUCCUCUGCUUAUCUGAAUUCCUUUAAGUUUUAGACCUUUCCUCCAAACCUCCAAUUUACACUUAUCUUUCCUCUAGUUUCAUCAAUGAAUAUAAUACAAUCAAAUAACAUAUACGAUGGAAUCUGAUCCUAUCUCAUCAAUUUAUCCAUAGCUAAGGCAAAAUAUAUUCUUAAUGCUAACCCUUGACCUGAAGGAGAAGGAAAAAGCUGAAGGAGAAGGAAAAAGCUUCCGACGCUGUUAGAGAGAGAGAGAGAGAGAGAGCGAGUUGGGAGAGGGACCUAGUGAGAGAAACAACCACCAUGUGAGAGAAGAAACUAGUGAGAGAAAGAUAGGUUCCGAUUCAAACCCUAGCAAGAGAGACCCCAACGAACCUCCUUCCGAUAACUGCUGUCCAAUCUGUUUUGACACCUUCGUCGUUCCUUCCGGGCUUAGUGUGGCCACUGGUAUUGUGGUAAGUUUUCCAUACCAAAAUUCCCAAUCCUCUGUUUCGUUUUCUCUAUUUUCUUGGCAACCAAACAAGCAUGAGUAUUUUAUUGCAUUUGAUUUGUUUCUAGAACCUUUUUAAAGAUGGAGUUGCAUAUUUUUUUGCUUGCUUCUUGGUUGAGGUUUUGUUUGGGUCUUGACAAACUCUAGGAUAAGGGGAGAAAAUUGGGUAUUAGAGAUUUCAUAUUGAACCUAAGAUGGUGAAUUACUCUGUUUGUUUUUAUAAUUUAAUUUUGGUUAAUGAUAUGCAGCAUAACUCAGAAUUUGUGUUCCUAUAUCCUAAUUGUGGAUCAUUAAACUAUCUAUGUAGUAACCUGUAGUCACUGCACACAACUAAAUAUAACAUAGGUUUUACAAGUAAUUAUAGUUCGUUUGAAACAUCUUUUGAAGUCAUUAUUAACUUGUGUUAGUGUAUAUUUUUUUGUAAUUUUAUAACAAUUGAAAACAUCUGAUCUGUGUUCUAUAUAUCCAGGCAAACGCUUUUCCUUCCUACCAAGGUGAUGCAUAGUUUAGAGGAAAUAAUUAAACUACCAUUGAGGCUAUAAUCUCUUCAAUUCACUUGCGGAUAAAAGUGGUUGUUUGAGGCACUAAUCAAGCAAAUAUAGAGUUACUGACAUUGUUUUAAACUCUAGCUACAAGUUCUUCCUUUAUGUUUAGUUGGGUUAUUUGAAGCCAGAGCGUGAUUAGUGCUUUGAAGUGUUAAUUAUACGUUUAAAAACUGCUAACCAUGUUUGGAAAUAGUAUUUGAACACACUUCAAACAUAACAUUGUUUGAGUUCACACACAUCCCAAGCAAUUCCACUUAUAUAAUUCAACCCAAAUAUCACAUCUCUUUGUGACUGGUGGUGCAAGGGUGUGUUGGUCAUUUCAAAAUCCUCCCUCAGUUAACUAUAAAAAGGCUACCCCAAGGCUUCUUCUGCAGCUCAAUCCGACCGCCUGAAAAUAUCCUCGUCCGCCGCCGCUGAAUCCGUACGCAUCCAUCCAUGGCUCUUCAUUGUGUGAUUGAGAGUGUGGGUAGAAUUGGUUAUAAGAAUCAUCUGAAAGAGACAAACCUAGGGUUUUUGAGUGGCCUUUCAACCAAAAACCACCACCAGAAUCUCAGCCCUUUCUGUCGUCAAGCUAGGGUUUUUGAGUGGCCUUUCAACCAAAAACCACCACCAGAAUCCCAGCCCUUUCUGUCCUCAUUCCUCCUUUUCGUCAACAAAAAUCUGAAUGUCAGUUAAAGCUGCAUGUCACAGAAUUCAAAUCUUGAGUUUGUGAGAGUGAUCGAGGCAAAUAAACAGUGCGUUUCUGGUCAAAUGUGUUUUAUCACCUUUGAGGCAACUGAUGCUGGUGUGAAGAACACUUAUCAUGCUAAGGUUUAUUGUUCUUUUCAAAAGGAAUGGGCAUCAGAGUUGUGUAGGCUCGCUCCUCAGAGACCUUCAAAUGUGGUUGUUUAAGCAAGCUAGUUAUGGGAAGAAUUAGAAGAGCUUAGAAAGAAGGCGAACGAUACAAAACCUGAAGGAGAAGGAAAAAGCUUCCGACUCUGUUAGAAAGAGAAAGAGCCAGCUGGAGUAUGAAUUGAGUGAGAUGGAGUAGGCACCUAGUGAGAGAAACAGUGAUGUGAGAGAAACUAGCGAGAGAAAGAUAGGUUCCGUUUCAAACCCUAGCAAGAGUGUCUCCAACGCACCUCCUUCCGAUGACUGUUGUCCAAUCUGUUUCGACACCUUCGUCGUUUCAUUCCUUCCUGGGCUCAGUAUGGCCACUGAUACUCUGAAUUCAAAUCUUGAGUUUGUGAGAGUGAUCUAGGCAAACAGACAGUGCGUGUCUGGUCAAAUGUGGUAUAUCACCUUUGAGGCAACUGAUGCUGGUGUGAAGAACACUUAUCAAGCUAAGGUUUAUUGUUCUUUUCAAAAGGAAUGGGCAUUAGAGUUGUAUAGGCUCGCUCCUCAUAGACCUUCAAAUGUGGUUGUUUAAGCAAGGUGGAUUGGCAUCUCAUCUGUGCUGGGGUAAGGUUAGGCCUGGAUGGUCUGUAACUGCUGUAUUUGUGAUGCUUGAUAGACUCUCCUCUACGGUUAAUCUUCACAGGAGAAGGCUGCAAGAUGCUCAAACUGUCAUAAAGAGGUCACUUGUUUGUGCCUUGUCAGUUUGCUCAUGCCUUCCGGACUUGGUUUGGUGAAGUCCUAAACUGGGAUCUGGUGCAGUUUGCUUACUUUGCAGGGCUUGAUGCAGGAUGGUAGAUGGGGUCUCGGAAUGUUGGUAGAAGGGAUAGGUUGUUGCUGAUGUUUUUGUUUGGGCAUGCUGAGAUGCACCACUUUCACCCUGGUUCUUGCAAUCCACAACUGUGCUAUGGGCUUUGUGGGGCGAGAGAAAUAAGAGAUACCACCAAGGGUUGUGCUCAUCGUUGAAGAGGCUGCUAAACCUACCUGUUACAUGGUUGUAGAUGCUGCUGGGCUAAAUUUCCAAGAUGUUGUAAUUUUAUUUUUAUGUUUCCUGAUCUGGUUUUUUUACUUGUAUUGGAAAUGGUAUUACUCCAUUUCAUAAUCUGGAGUGUUACGUAUGUGGGGUAUGCCCCCACACUGAUCCACUCUACUCAAAGUCUACGCAAUGAAAGCUUGAUUUUGGAUCU
Long non-coding RNA from Cornus florida, 4579 nucleotides. RefSeq lists it as uncharacterized. The transcript is spliced from 6 exons. The record is from RefSeq and is a predicted model, not a curated record. Lineage: Eukaryota; Viridiplantae; Streptophyta; Magnoliopsida; Cornales; Cornaceae.